UGGGGAAUUUUGCGCAAUGGGCGAAAGCCUGACGCAGCAACGCCGCGUGGGUGAUGAAGGUCUUCGGAUCGUAAAACCCUGUCGUCAGGGACGAAGGUUGUAUGCCUAACAGGUGUGCAGCUUGACGGUACCUGGAGAGGAAGCCCCGGCUAACUCUGUGCCAGCAGCCGCGGUAAUACAGAGGGGGCAAGCGUUAUUCGGAAUUAUUGGGCGUAAAGGGCGCGUAGGCGGUGUCUUAAGUGAGAUGUGUAAUCCCCGAGCUUAACUUGGGAACUGCAUCUCAGACUGGGGCGCUAGAGUGCUGGAGAGGGUGGUAGAAUUCCACGUGUAGCGGUGAAAUGCGUAGAGAUGUGGAGGAAUACCAGUGGCGAAGGCGGCCACCUGGACAGUAACUGACGCUGAGGCGCGAAAGUGUGGGGAGCAAACA
Molecule: ribosomal RNA, 427 nt
Filed under: uncultured prokaryote
Description: bacterial SSU rRNA
Rfam family: Bacterial small subunit ribosomal RNA
Source: RNAcentral